AGGGGUGUGGCUCAAUGAUAGAGCACUUGCUAGGCAUGCAUGUUGCCCUGGGUUUAAUCCCCAACACCACGA
This 72-nucleotide transfer RNA is filed under the name Heterocephalus glaber (naked mole-rat). It matches the Rfam family "tRNA". Rfam says of the family: Transfer RNA (tRNA) molecules are approximately 80 nucleotides in length. Their secondary structure includes four short double-helical elements and three loops (D, anti-codon, and T loops). Further hydrogen bonds mediate the characteristic L-shaped molecular structure. tRNAs have two regions of fundamental functional importance: the anti-codon, which is responsible for specific mRNA codon recognition, and the 3' end, to which the tRNAs corresponding amino acid is attached (by aminoacyl-tRNA synthetases). tRNAs cope with the degeneracy of the genetic code in two manners: having more than one tRNA (with a specific anti-codon) for a particular amino acid; and 'wobble' base-pairing, i.e. permitting non-standard base-pairing at the 3rd anti-codon position. Lineage: Eukaryota; Metazoa; Chordata; Mammalia; Rodentia; Bathyergidae. The record is from Rfam by way of RNAcentral.